AUACGGAGGAUCCAAGCGUCAUCCGGAAUCAUUGGGUUUAAAGGGUCCGUAGGCGGGUUUGUAAGUCAGUGGUGAAAGUUUUCGGCUCAACCGGAAAAUUGCCAUUGAUACUGCAAGUCUUGAAUUAUUGUGAAGUGGUUAGAAUGUGUAGUGUAGCGGUGAAAUGCAUAGAUAUUACACAGAAUACCGAUUGCGAAGGCAGAUCACUAACAAUAUAUUGACGCUAAGGGACGAAAGCGUGGGUAGCGAACAGGAUUAGAAACCCUAGUAGUCC
RNAcentral lists this ribosomal RNA (274 nucleotides) under uncultured bacterium. RNAcentral's name for it is "partial 16S ribosomal RNA". It matches the Rfam family "Bacterial small subunit ribosomal RNA", at positions 523 to 796 of the family's 1533-position model. The record is from RNAcentral.